Molecule: long non-coding RNA, 4265 nt
Organism: Diorhabda carinulata
Lineage: Eukaryota; Metazoa; Arthropoda; Insecta; Coleoptera; Chrysomelidae
Exons: 9
Source: RefSeq, a predicted model, not a curated record
AAAAGGCGUUUAAGACAUACAUGUAUACCUUAAACGACAAGCUUAAUUUUCAUUUAUUUUUAAACUAUUUCGUUCUCAUGUCAGUGCGUCAUGGAUUUUUGACUUGGCCGAGCACCAAUUUGUUAUAAUACACAAACAUUUUCGUUAAUUCUACUAAAAUUUAUAAAGUGCCGAGAAUUUUGUGUCAGUUGCGAUUUUGUGGUCACUCGUGUAUCGUCUUAAAACAUAAAAGAUGUUAUCAAUUAAAUACGAUCCCGUACAUGGGUACGACUAUUCUUAUAAUACAGCCUUUAUCCCAGACUACAAAAUUCAUCGGCCUUACGAUUUUUAUUUUGAUUGGCCGUGGAGAUACCGGGUUUGGUUACCUAACAGGCCCUAUAGGCGAUUUUUGCAUAAGGAGCUUUCCGGUAUCAGAGACAUCAUCUAUAUGUCGUAAAGGAAAUUAGAAGUCAACGAAAUAACAAUAUAUAUUUUUUAAAUAUUUACAAAAAUUUUCGACAUGUUUUGAUUUUAUUAUAUUAAUUUUUUACGUUAAUAAAUUGGUUUAACAAAAUUUACGUUAUAUAAUUCAGCUCCUCUUCUUUAUUUUUGUCACCGAACAAACCUGUAUCUUCAAGAUUUUGUCUUUAUAUUAUUUAUUUUCGUUAUUACCAGUUUUGAAAUUCGAAAUUUUUCGUUUCAUUCGUUUUUAUAUCAAAUUACAAAACAUAAAAUAAAAUAUCUUCAAAAGUACAUGAAAAUUUCGAACUAGCUGUGGAAAAUGAUAGCUAUAAAUUCCGUAAUUUCUUUUGGCGACGUUCCAGAAAAUUUUCUAUAUCUGUUACGUUUCAACAAAAUCAUCACAAAAUCGUCAUUGGUAUUUCUAACAGAACCACGCAACCUGCAUUUUAGAAACUUGUUUAUUAUUAAAAUAAACAGUAAACAUGUAUAAUGUACCACACGAUCUCCAAACGCCGUAUAUACCGCCUUAUAUCAAUAUUAUCGAUUACGAACAUGUGCCUUACACGAAAUAUCACUCUGUAUAUGUUCCUAAUUAUGAUACAUAUAGACCGGUAGAUAAAUACGAUAAAUGGCCUUCUUGGUAUCGAGCUUACUUACAUAUGCCCGAAUUUAGGCACUAUUUGAAUAAUACUCUUAUGAGAGAUGUGGGGAUUCGUAGACAUAAAUACGUCCACACUUAUUGGUAAAACACGAAUAGAAGAAAGAAAAUUUGCGAUUUGCGUUCAAAUUUUGUCAAUUUCAUCAUAAUUUGUAUUUACAAAUAAAUUGCUUUCGUGUAUUUUGGAUAGAAUAUUUAAUUUGAUAAUUUGUUUACUUGGAAUCGGAAUUUUGAUAUAGAAUCAAAUUCUAAAUUACAUUAUCCAUUCGAUACAGUACAAACAUGGAAUAAUUAGUAAAAAAACAAAUUUUACAAUAUUUUCACAGUGAAUACAUUUUUUUAUAAAAUCAAAACCAAAUUUCCACAACAUAAUAAACCAACGAAAAAUCCCGAUGUAAAGCUAGUUUCAUCGAUAAUAUUUUCUAAUCAUUUAUGAACAAAUCCCACCCUCUAUUUUAUAAACGAAACUACGAGGAUAGUUCCAAAAGUACCCGGAAAACAUAAAAAUUUCGGAAAAAAAUGAUGUUAUAUCCUUUUAGCUCCAUAAACUUUUCCCAGCGAUGUUCAAUAAGUGCGAUACCCUCUUCAUGUAAUUCGUAUGAAUAAUUGAGCCUCAUAAACACAUAUCCAAACAUGUUUGUUUCGAUAACGAAGUUGUCGUCUUCAGGGAAAGUGUUAUACCAAAGCUUUAUGUUGCCAAAUGUGAAUAUUUCCGAGCUGGUAUCUGGCAAACUUCCAGUAAGAUUUCUCGCCUAGUGCUUUAGAGAUUUUAUCUUUAUUCUCGAUAAAAAUCUCGACUAAUCUAUUGAGUUUCGUUGUGAAAUCUGUUUAAUCUUUAAAUAAUAAAAAAAAUGCUUGGAUUGCAAUACGACCCUUAUUACCGAUACGAUUUAUGGCCUUAUUCGAAAUACGUUCCCGUUGAUAUACCGGAUUAUAAAAUUAACAGACCUUUGGAUUAUUAUAGCAAAUGGCCGGAAUACUAUCCAAUGUUAUUGCCCGUACCAGAAUUCAGAACGUAUCUGAAUAAUCUUUUACUUAGAGAUUUAAGGCUGAGAAAAUAUCAAUAUACACACACUUAUUGGUGAACAACUAUAUAAAUCGAUUUAUUUAGCUACGAAUUACCAAAAAUAUAUAUUUAAAAUGUUAUUGGAUAUUUAAUAUUGAAAUGCAUGUAAAGAAAAAUAAUAUAACCGAAAAAUAUAAAAUAUUACGUAUCCUCUCAAAGUUUUUUGUCGACUAUUCCGAUUAAUUUUUUUGUUAUUGCAUAAUAAUUAAUCUUUUCGUGUCGUAAAUUUUUGUUCGACGAGAUUUCGUAAUAUUAUAAUGAUAAAACUACGUCGCUUUUUUAUAUUAAAUAUUAACAAAGUAGAAAUUUCGAUUAAAAAUUCAUCAAAAGACAAGUUUUCUAUUGUGGCCGCAUAAAAACCCUAGUCGAGAUUAUAUUCCAUUUGAUCGAGCUUCUUAAUUCGGGGACUCAUCACUUUAUCUGAGAUUGAGAUUUUGCUGUAGACAGAACAGAUUUUCUCUAUCGUUUGUCGACUCAAUUCAUCCACAAUCUAAUAUCCACGAUUUCUAUUGCAUUUCGAGGCGUUUCCAAUAAGAAAAUCAUUUAAACCAAUAUUAAAAUAAGACAGUCUCAUUAAAAUUAAUGAAUAAUUUCGGUUCCAAUUUGAUGAGACACUCGAAUUAAAAUUCGCAAACUAUCAAAUAAAAGUAGAAAUUUCGAUUAAAAAAUUGAUCAAAAGACAAGUUUUCUAUUGUGGCCGCAUAAAAACAAUCGUCCAGAUUAUGUUCCAUUUGAUCGAACGUCUCAAUUCAGGGACUCAUCACUUUAUCUGAGAUUUAUCCCUUGUCAAAUCGAUUCAUUCAUAAUCCACGAUUUCUAUUGCAUUUCCAACAAGAAAAUCAUUUUUUAAUUUAAUUGAUAUAAUUGUAUAUAUUUGCAAGAUGUUUUGAAAAUUUCGAUGACAAUUUGAUGAGGCACUCGAAUUUAAAAUCGCAAGCUAACGGUUUUUACAAUUGUCAAAUAAAAGUAAAAUUUUCGAUUAACAGAUUCAUCAGAAGACAAUUUUUCUAUUGUGACCGCAUAAAACCCUCGUCGAGGCUAUACUUCGUUCGAUCGAGCUUGUUAAUUCUGACACUCAUCAUUUUAUCUGUGAUUGGGGUUUUGCUGUAGAUAGAACAGAUUUUCUUUAAUCGUUUGUCAACUCAAUUCAUCCACAAUCUAAUAUACACGAUUUCUAUUGCAUUUCCACUAAGAAAAUCAUUUAAAACCAAUAUUAGAAUAAGACAGCUUCAUUAAAAUUGAUGAUUUAAUAAGAAAACUGUGAAAUAAAAGUAGAAUUUUCGUAAUUUACAUUAUUCGAAAGGAUUUGUUAUUAAUUGGAGGGUUGUAUCUUGGUAACUAAGAGCUGCUUUUUGUCUCAAAUUGUAAACUGUCGAUAAAAGUUUUGCUUAUAGUUUCAAAAGUGAAUAUAUACAACUGAUAAUUCUGUAAACAGAGUUAGCUAUUUCAAUAAAUGUCGUGCUAGUGGAAUCGCAAAAGAAUCCUGAAUCAAAUACGUGAGUCACGACGCGUCCUAAAAAUAUUUCAAGCUUAUUUUCAUUGUGAAAAUAACCCAAAAUAAACACACCUACAUUAUUUAUAUAAUAUGAAUCAACUCCAAGUAUUUUAAGGUUAUUACAAUCGUCGGAAUACAAUAAGUUUGUAACGAAAAAAAUGUAUACUGGCCGUUAUCCAAAAAUUCACACUUAAAAUUUUACGUCUUUUGAAAAAUAAAUGCAUUCGUUUGGAUAGUGUUUAGUGUUUGUGUGUGGUCUCUGUUGGAAUAGCAGGUAACUAAAAUUGAAAUGGUGAGACUAGAAACUAGGUACGAUCCUAUACAUGGAUACAAUUAUACUUAUUGGCCGGACUCUAAAUAUUUCAGAAAUUAUCAAUUUGCUCCUCCAAUAUCUUGGGUAGACGAUUGGACCAGAAGAUCGCGUGUAUGGUUUCCUUAUUAUUGGUCUACCAACAGAUUAUUUUACCAUUAUAAUGAUUACCGGCCAUCGAUAAGAUCUCUUCGAGAACAACGACUAAGACACAACUUAUACUUUUAGACCCGAUUAAAAAUCAAACGUUCAAAUUAUAUUGUAACUAUUUUUUGUAAUAAAUUUUGAAAAUCUA